AGAGUUUGAUCAUGGCUCAGGAUGAACGCUGGCGGCGUGCCUAACACAUGCAAGUCAAGCGAUUUACUUCGGUAAAGAGCGGCGGACGGGUGAGUAACGCGUGGGUAACCUGCCCUGUACACACGGAUAACAUACCGAAAGGUAUGCUAAUACGAGAUAAUAUGCUUUUAUCGCAUGGUAGAAGUAUCAAAGCUUUUGCGGUACAGGAUGGACCCGCGUCUGAUUAGCUAGUUGGUAAGGUAACGGCUUACCAAGGCGACGAUUAGUAGCCGACCUGAGAGGGUGAUCGGCCACAUUGGAACUGAGACACGGUCCAAACUCCUACGGGAGGCAGCAGUGGGGAAUAUUGCACAAUGGGCGAAAGCCUGAUGCAGCAACGCCGCGUGAGCGAUGAAGGCCUUCGGGUCGUAAAGCUCUGUCCUCAAGGAAGAUAAUGACGGUACUUGAGGAGGAAGCCCCGGCUAACUACGUGCCAGCAGCCGCGGUAAUACGUAGGGGGCUAGCGUUAUCCGGAAUUACUGGGCGUAAAGGGUGCGUAGGUGGUUUCUUAAGCCAGAGGUGAAAGGCUACGGCUCAACCGUAGUAAGCCCUUGAAACUGGGAAACUUGAGUGCAGGAGAGGAGAGUGGAAUUCCUAGUGUAGCGGUGAAAUGCGUAGAUAUUAGGAGGAACACCAGUUGCGAAGGCGGCUCUCUGGACUGUAACUGACACUGAGGCACGAAAGCGUGGGGAGCAAACAGGAUUAGAUACCCUGGUAGUCCACGCCGUAAACGAUGAGUACUAGCUGUCGGAGGUUACCCCCUUCGGUGGCGCAGCUAACGCAUUAAGUACUCCGCCUGGGAAGUACGCUCGCAAGAGUGAAACUCAAAGGAAUUGACGG
Molecule: ribosomal RNA, 879 nt
Filed under: uncultured bacterium
Lineage: Bacteria
Description: bacterial SSU rRNA
Rfam family: Bacterial small subunit ribosomal RNA
Source: RNAcentral